This 199-nucleotide long non-coding RNA is filed under the name Prunus persica (peach). Its description in RNAcentral is "long non-coding RNA (PPER_LNC001721)". Lineage: Eukaryota; Viridiplantae; Streptophyta; Magnoliopsida; Rosales; Rosaceae. The record is from RNAcentral.
ACAUAACGAAGCUAGAGAGAGAAAGAGCUGCGCUAUGAGAAAGAGAGCAAAGAGAGAGACAGAGAGUUGUGCUAGAGAGAGAGAGAGAGAGCCAAGAGAUAGAGAGCCAAGAGAGACGCAGAGAGCUGUGAUAGACAGAUACCAAAGAGAAAGAGAGCUGUGCCACAGAGAGAGAGAGCUGUGUGAGCUAAGAGAGAAC